UAAGGAAUAUUGGACAAUGGUCGCAAGACUGAUCCAGCCAUGCCGCGUGCAGGAAGACGGCCCUAUGGGUUGUAAACUGCUUUUGUACCAGAGAAAACCUAUCUACGUGUAGAUAGCUGAUAGUAUGGUAAGAAUAAGCAUCGGCUAACUUCGUGCCAGCAGCCGCGGUAAGACGAAGGAUGCAAGCGUUAUCCGGAUUCAUUGGGUUUAAAGGGUGCGUAGGCGGGCUUGUAAGUCAGUGGUGAAAGCCUGCAGCUUAACUGCAGAAUUGCCAUUGAUACUGUUAGUCUUGAGUACAGUUGAGGUAGGCGGAAUGUGUCAUGUAGCGGUGAAAUGCUUAGAUAUGACACAGAACACCGAUUGCGAAGGCAGCUUGCUAAGCUGUAACUGACGCUGAGGCACGAAAGCGUGGGGAGCAAACA
Molecule: ribosomal RNA, 422 nt
Filed under: uncultured bacterium
Lineage: Bacteria
Description: bacterial SSU rRNA
Rfam family: Bacterial small subunit ribosomal RNA
Source: RNAcentral